Molecule: long non-coding RNA, 557 nt
Organism: Trachemys scripta elegans
Lineage: Eukaryota; Metazoa; Chordata; Testudines; Emydidae
Exons: 3
Source: RefSeq, a predicted model, not a curated record
GGGUGCCUGGUGUGCAUGUGUACCCAGGUAUGGAAUACACAGAAGGACCAUCACUCAAAGAAGCAUUAAUGGAUUACACGGAAGAUAAACCAGUCAAAAGUGUGUGCACGCAUAUACACCCAAAAUCUAGUCUUUGGAUGAAUUAUAUUUUGUUGACAGAGUUUGAAGAAGAAGCAAAUGAAAUCAGGUCAUAAUGCCACUUUCAAGAGCAGUUAAAAACCAAAUCAAACAAUGGAAGCACAUUGAACGUAUAGGAAUGAAGCCUCACACCCUGAAACAACUUCAACUGAUACAAAACACAGCAGCCCACAUGCUUAGCAACAUGAAAACACCACUCCAGUGCUCUGCUCUGUUCUCUACACUGGCUCCUUAUAGAAUACAAAGUGGAGUUCAAGAUCUCUUUCUCUUCCAAGGUCUCAAGUUCAAGGUCUCAAAAAUAUUCAAAGCUGUCCAUGAGAUAGCCUUCACCUCUACAACCAUGGAAAUAAAGCUGUCAGCCAUUUAAAGGAGGCUCUUGAGUGCAAGAGACAGAACUUCCAAAAAGCCCAUGAAAGCUU